GCACAAACUGCAGUGUGAAGCCGCCCCAAAACUCCAACGCAGAUCCAAGAUUUGAAAGAGAGCAUCGAGGAGGGAGAGAGAUGAGCGGGGCGGGAGCUCCCGAUUUCUAUUACAGGGAGGCUCAGCGCCUUGGCUACGUGGCACGCUCCGCUUUCAAGUUGUUACAGAUGCAGAAGCAGUUCAAAUUGAUAACUCCUGGAGCUUCUGUCCUUGAUCUUGGAUGCGCUCCUGGGGCUUGGCUCCAGGUAGCUUGUCAGAGUUUGGGUCCUUUGAAAAAUGGUGGAGCGGUUGUUGGUGUUGACUUGAAGAAAGUCAAGGUCCCUCAGCUUCAUUGUGAUGCUCGAGUCCAAACUGUUUGUGCAGAUGUUAUGAACCUCAUGAGGCCCCAAGCCAGAGCGCUCUCUCCUAAGGGAAAUGGGUUUUCUGUGAUACUCUCAGACAUGUGUCCCCCGGUUUCUGGGAUCCAUACGAAAGAUGCAGUUCUUUCCAGUGAGUUGGGGAUGCGUGCACUUUUCUUGGCAAUGGGCAGGUGCAGUAUAACAGAUUCCAGUUCUCUUGUUAGUUCUGAAGAAGUAAUGGACAGUUCAGAUGAUGAUGAAGAUGGGGUCCUUAAGCCUGGUGGUCAUAUCAUAAUCAAGCUUCUUGAGAGUGAAGUGAGCCAAGGUAAGAAGUGUCUUAAGUAUGUGCGUGUAUGUGUUUUUCAGGUGAUGGGGUGGGGGCUUGGUGGGUUAUAAUCCAAUAGGACACCACUGCCAACAAAGUGACAGACAGUGCUGGAGAGGGGAAGGCUCACAAUUAGGUUCAUAGUUUGUUCCGGGUUUCGCCAUCUAUGCAAACCUCGUUUCAAGAAAGUAUCAUGGUUAAGGCCGAAAGCAACAAGGUCUUCCUCUAGAGAAAUCUACUUGAUAGGUCAAGGCCUGAAAUAGCAUGCGAUGGUUGUGUAUCUACUCAUGGACUUGGGUAUUUUGGUAUGGUUAGGGUGCUUGAUCAUUCGCUGAUUGGGAGGUGCAUUCUGGUUUUUGGAGCUGUUGAUCAGGCAUCCACAUGAAAAGCUGCUCAGGGUAUCCAUUAAAUUUGGCAGUCUAAGUGCAGACGCGGUGCAGCAUGGUUCAAUUUUGAUAACACUAGAACACCAUAUGCAUCAAAAGCAGUAUGAUGGGCUGAAAUUCCCUGUGAUAUGUGUGUGUGUGAGAGAGAGAGAGAGAGAGAGAGAGAGAGAGAGAGAGAGAGAGAGAGA
Molecule: RNA transcript, 1237 nt
Organism: Amborella trichopoda
Lineage: Eukaryota; Viridiplantae; Streptophyta; Magnoliopsida; Amborellales; Amborellaceae
Gene name: FtsJ-like methyltransferase family protein
Source: RefSeq, a predicted model, not a curated record